UCAGCAUCUGAUAUCAGUAAAGAGGUAUUGAAUUCAUUUUAUAGUUGAUUUUUCCAUCUUUCCCUUAGUAUGCUGUUAAAUUUGACUUACUGUUCUACGUUGGAUGUUUUGUAUUUUUGCAUUUCCAUCCUAUUUUAUUGGUCGAGAGCUUGGGGCACCAGGAAAUUCUCUCAUAGAUGGAUAAUCCGUUUAAAAAGAUAUAGCAAAUUGAAAUGUACCAAUAUCUUCUUGCCAAAAGUUACCUUUUUUUAUGAAUUUGGGCAAUUAGUUGGUGCUGCAGGCACAAUAUAGUUGUAUGAUUGUUGAAGUGUUACCAGAUAUUCAUGUCUUAACGCUAUUACCUUUUAGCAGAAAUAUUCAAGAGG
RNAcentral lists this unclassified non-coding RNA (365 nucleotides) under Hevea brasiliensis (rubber tree). Lineage: Eukaryota; Viridiplantae; Streptophyta; Magnoliopsida; Malpighiales; Euphorbiaceae. The record is from RNAcentral.